AUUGAACGCUAGCGGCAUGCCUUACACAUGCAAGUCGAACGGUAACAGGUCUUCGGAUGCUGACGAGUGGCGAACGGGUGAGUAAUACAUCGGAACGUGCCUAGUAGUGGGGGAUAACUACUCGAAAGAGUGGCUCAUCCCGCAUGAGAUCUACGGAUGAAAGCAGGGGAUCGCAAGACCUUGUGCUACCAGAGCGGCCGAUGGCAGAUUAGGUAGUUGGUGGGAUAAAAGCUUACCAAGCCGACGAUCUGUAGCUGGUCUGAGAGGACGAUCAGCCACACUGGGACUGAGAAACGGCCCAGACUCCUACGGGAGGCAGCAGUGGGGAAUUUUGGACAAUGGGCGCAAGCCUGAUCCAGCAAUGCCGCGUGCAGGAUGAAGGCCUUCGGGUUGUAAACUGCUUUUGUACGGAACGAAAAGCCCCGGGUUAAUACCCUGGGGUCAUGACGGUACCGUAAGAAUAAGCACCGGCUAACUACGUGCCAGCCGCCGCGGUAA
This 498-nucleotide ribosomal RNA is filed under the name uncultured bacterium. RNAcentral describes it as "partial 16S ribosomal RNA". It matches the Rfam family "Bacterial small subunit ribosomal RNA", at positions 30 to 523 of the family's 1533-position model. The record is from RNAcentral.